This is a long non-coding RNA of Thalassophryne amazonica, 129 nucleotides long. RefSeq lists it as uncharacterized. The transcript is spliced from 4 exons. NCBI's taxonomy places the organism in Eukaryota, Metazoa, Chordata, Actinopteri, Batrachoidiformes, Batrachoididae. The record is from RefSeq and is a predicted model, not a curated record.
CACAGUUUUAAUGUUUAUGUCCUGCCUAUUAGCACUGAUUUUUUAAAUUUUAUUUUUAUGAUGGUUGUGUUAUUUGUACAUUGAAAUAGUUGAGGUAAACAUAAAACAUAAAACAUAAUGAUUUAAGAG